GGGUUGUGAGGUUAAGCGACUAAGCGUACACGGUGGAUGCCCUGGCAGUCAGAGGCGAUGAAGGACGUGCUAAUCUGCGAAAAGCGUCGGUAAGGUGAUAUGAACCGUUAUAACCGGCGAUGUCCGAAUGGGGAAACCCAGUGUGAUUCGUCACACUAUCGUUAACUGAAUACAUAGGUUAACGAGGCGAACCGGGGGAACUGAAACAUCUAAGUACCCCGAGGAAAAGAAAUCAACCGAGAUUCCCCCAGUAGCGGCGAGCGAACGGGGAGCAGCCCAGAGUCUGAAUCAGCUUGUGUGUUAGUGGAACGGUCUGGAAAGUCCGACGGUACAGGGUGAUAGUCCCGUACACCAAAAUGCACAGGCUGUGAACUCGAAGAGUAGGGCGGGACACGUGGUAUCCUGUCUGAAUAUGGGGGGACCAUCCUCCAAGGCUAAAUACUCCUGACUGACCGAUAGUGAACCAGUACCGUGAGGGAAAGGCGAAAAGAACCCCGGCGAGGGGAGUGAAAAAGAACCUGAAACCGUGUACGUACAAGCAGUGGGAGCACCUUCGGGUGUGACUGCGUACCUUUUGUAUAAUGGGUCAGCGACUUAUAUUCUGUAGCAAGGUUAACCGUAUAGGGGAGCCGCAGGGAAACCGAGUCUUAACUGGGCGUUAAGUUGCAGGGUAUAGACCCGAAACCCGGUGAUCUAGCCAUGGGCAGGUUGAAGGUUGGGUAACACUAACUGGAGGACCGAACCGACUAAUGUUGAAAAAUUAGCGGAUGACUUGUGGCUGGGGGUGAAAGGCCAAUCAAACCGGGAGAUAGCUGGUUCUCCCCGAAAGCUAUUUAGGUAGCGCCUCGUGAAUUCAUCUUCGGGGGUAGAGCACUGUUUCGGCUAGGGGGUCAUCCCGACUUACCAACCCGAUGCAAACUACGAAUACCGAAGAAUGUUAUCACGGGAGACACACGGCGGGUGCUAACGUCCGUCGUGAAGAGGGAAACAACCCAGACCGCCAGCUAAGGUCCCAAAGUCAUGGUUAAGUGGGAAACGAUGUGGGAAGGCACAGACAGCCAGGAUGUUGGCUUAGAAGCAGCCAUCAUUUAAAGAAAGCGUAAUAGCUCACUGGUCGAGUCGGCCUGCGCGGAAGAUGUAACGGGGCUAAACCAUGCACCGAAGCUGCGGCAGCGACACUAUGUGUUGUUGGGUAGGGGAGCGUUCUGUAAGCCUGCGAAGGUGACCUGUGAGGGUUGCUGGAGGUAUCAGAAGUGCGAAUGCUGACAUAAGUAACGAUAAAGCGGGUGAAAAGCCCGCUCGCCGGAAGACCAAGGGUUCCUGUCCAACGUUAAUCGGGGCAGGGUGAGUCGACCCCUAAGGCGAGGCCGAAAGGCGUAGUCGAUGGGAAACAGGUUAAUAUUCCUGUACUUGGUGUUACUGCGAAGGGGGACGGAGAAGGCUAUGUUAGCCGGGCGACGGUUGUCCCGGUUUAAGCAUGUAGGCUGGUUGUCCAGGCAAAUCCGGAUAAUCAAGGCUGAGGUGUGAUGACGAGGCACUACGGUGCUGAAGUAACAAAUGCCCUGCUUCCAGGAAAAGCCUCUAAGCAUCAGGUAACAUCAAAUCGUACCCCAAACCGACACAGGUGGUCAGGUAGAGAAUACCAAGGCGCUUGAGAGAACUCGGGUGAAGGAACUAGGCAAAAUGGUGCCGUAACUUCGGGAGAAGGCACGCUGGUGUGUAGGUGAAGUCCCUGCGGAUGGAGCUGAGACCAGUCGAAGAUACCAGCUGGCUGCAACUGUUUAUUAAAAACACAGCACUGUGCAAACACGAAAGUGGACGUAUACGGUGUGACGCCUGCCCGGUGCCGGAAGGUUAAUUGAUGGGGUUAUCCGUAAGGAGAAGCUCUUGAUCGAAGCCCCGGUAAACGGCGGCCGUAACUAUAACGGUCCUAAGGUAGCGAAAUUCCUUGUCGGGUAAGUUCCGACCUGCACGAAUGGCGUAAUGAUGGCCAGGCUGUCUCCACCCGAGACUCAGUGAAAUUGAACUCGCUGUGAAGAUGCAGUGUACCCGCGGCAAGACGGAAAGACCCCGUGAACCUUUACUAUAGCUUGACACUGAACAUUGAGCCUUGAUGUGUAGGAUAGGUGGGAGGCUUUGAAGCGUGGACGCCAGUCUGCGUGGAGCCAACCUUGAAAUACCACCCUUUAAUGUUUGAUGUUCUAACGUUGGCCCCUGACCGGGGUUGCGGACAGUGUCUGGUGGGUAGUUUGACUGGGGCGGUCUCCUCCCAAAGCGUAACGGAGGAGCACGAAGGUUAGCUAAUCCUGGUCGGACAUCAGGAGGUUAGUGCAAUGGCAUAAGCUAGCUUGACUGCGAGCGUGACGGCGCGAGCAGGUGCGAAAGCAGGUCAUAGUGAUCCGGUGGUUCUGAAUGGAAGGGCCAUCGCUCAACGGAUAAAAGGUACUCCGGGGAUAACAGGCUGAUACCGCCCAAGAGUUCAUAUCGACGGCGGUGUUUGGCACCUCGAUGUCGGCUCAUCACAUCCUGGGGCUGAAGUAGGUCCCAAGGGUAUGGCUGUUCGCCAUUUAAAGUGGUACGCGAGCUGGGUUUAGAACGUCGUGAGACAGUUCGGUCCCUAUCUGCCGUGGGCGCUGGAGAAUUGAGGGGGGCUGCUCCUAGUACGAGAGGACCGGAGUGGACGCAUCACUGGUGUUCGGGUUGUCAUGCCAAUGGCACUGCCCGGUAGCUAAAUGCGGAAGAGAUAAGUGCUGAAAGCAUCUAAGCACGAAACUUGCCCCGAGAUGAGUUCUCCCUGAGACUUUAAGUCUCCUGAAGGAACGUUGAAGACGACGACGUUGAUAGGCCGGGUGUGUAAGCGCAGCGAUGCGUUGAGCUAACCGGUACUAAUGAACCGUGAGGCUUAACCUUACAACGCCGAAG
Molecule: ribosomal RNA, 2922 nt
Filed under: Klebsiella pneumoniae
Lineage: Bacteria; Pseudomonadati; Pseudomonadota; Gammaproteobacteria; Enterobacterales; Enterobacteriaceae
Description: bacterial LSU rRNA
Rfam family: Bacterial large subunit ribosomal RNA
Source: RNAcentral